GACUGUAGUCGUUGCAGAUUAAUCCUUAGGUCGCUGGUUCAAAUCCGGCAGGUCGGAUUCUUUCUUUUUUAUUUUUUUCCUCA
RNAcentral lists this small RNA (83 nucleotides) under Oryza sativa Japonica Group (Japanese rice). RNAcentral's name for it is "sRNA Os08g0407400". The record is from RNAcentral. Lineage: Eukaryota; Viridiplantae; Streptophyta; Magnoliopsida; Poales; Poaceae.